Molecule: ribosomal RNA, 445 nt
Filed under: uncultured bacterium
Lineage: Bacteria
Description: bacterial SSU rRNA
Rfam family: Bacterial small subunit ribosomal RNA
Source: RNAcentral
UCCAGACUCCUACGGGAGGCAGCAGUGGGGAAUAUUGCACAAUGGGCGAAAGCCUGAUGCAGCGACGCCGCGUGAAGGAUGAAGUAUUUCGGUACGUAAACUUCUAUCAGCAGGGAAGAAAAUGACGGUACCUGACUAAGAAGCCCCGGCUAACUACGUGCCAGCAGCCGCGGUAAUACGUAGGGGGCAAGCGUUAUCCGGAUUUACUGGGUGUAAAGGGAGCGUAGACGGGCCAGCAAGUCUGAUGUGAAAACCCGGGGCCCAACCCCGGGAGUGCAUUGGAAACUGCGGGCCUGGAGUGCCGGAGAGGUAAGCGGAAUUCCUAGUGCAGCGGUGAAAUGCGUAGAUAUUAGGAGGAACACCAGUGGCGAAGGCGGCUUACUGGACGGUAACUGACGUUGAGGCUCGAAAGCGUGGGGAGCAAACAGGAUUAGAUACCCCCGUA